Sorex araneus (European shrew) is the source of this 473-nucleotide long non-coding RNA. RefSeq lists it as uncharacterized. The record is from RefSeq and is a predicted model, not a curated record. Lineage: Eukaryota; Metazoa; Chordata; Mammalia; Eulipotyphla; Soricidae. The transcript has 2 exons.
GGGUCCCGUGUGGGGGCGGGGCUUACUGGACAGUGGCUCCAGGGCCACCUCGAAGCUCUCCUUCUUGAACUCCGUCUUGGUGACGCCCGUGUAGAAGGUGAUGUUGCCCGACAGGUCCCCAACACGUCUGUGGGACAGCCAGGCCUGCUGGCCCGCUGCAGAACAGCCCAGUGGCACCUCACCCAAACCCACGUGAGCUCCGGGAGACGGGGAGCAUCCACCACUCAGAAACUUGGAAGGCACAAAGGAGGUCGUCAACCCAAGAUUCUUACGGAAAGUGCUCUGAACACCAGCAACCAACCAACGAGCCGACCAGUCACCCACAACCACCCACCCACCAACCAGCCAACCACCAACACGCCUUCAGACACCCCACCACCAACAAACCAGCCAGCAACCAAUCAACUUGCCAACCAACAACAGAACUGCAACCACUCAACCACCAACAAAUCGGCCAACAACCACCAAAAACC